This 433-nucleotide ribosomal RNA is filed under the name uncultured bacterium. RNAcentral describes it as "partial 16S ribosomal RNA". It matches the Rfam family "Bacterial small subunit ribosomal RNA", at positions 29 to 507 of the family's 1533-position model. The record is from RNAcentral.
AACGAACGCUGGCGGCAUGCCUAACACAUGCAAGUCGAACGAGACCUUCGGGUCUAGUGGCGCACGGGUGCGUAACGCGUGGGGACCUGCCCUUAGGUUCGGAAUAACUCCCCGAAAGGGGUGCUAAUACCGGAUAAUGUCUUCGGACCAAAGAUUUAUCGCCUUUGGAUGGGCCCGCGUUGGAUUAGCUAGUUGGUAGGGUAAAAGCCUACCAAGGCGACGAUCCAUAGCUGGUCUGAGAGGAUGAUCAGCCACACUGGGACUGAGACACGGCCCAGACUCCUACGGGAAGCAGCAGUGGGGAAUAUAGGACAAUGGGCGAAAGCCUGAUCCAGCAAUGCCGCGUGAGUGAUGAAGGCCUGAGGGUUGUAAAGCUCUUUUACCCGGGAUGAUAAUGACAGUACCGGGAGAAUAAGCUCCGGCUAACUACGUG